Molecule: long non-coding RNA, 209 nt
Organism: Actinia tenebrosa (Australian red waratah sea anemone)
Lineage: Eukaryota; Metazoa; Cnidaria; Anthozoa; Actiniaria; Actiniidae
Source: RefSeq, a predicted model, not a curated record
AGACAGGAGAUGAGAUUCUCAGUGUCAACAACAUGAUAUUAACAGAGGCAACACAUGAGGAAGUGGUGAACUUACUAAGAUCAAGAAGAACACUUGCCUUGAAAGUCAGAAGCACGGGCAAAGUUCCUUGUAAAAUACAUGAUCUUGUUAGAUGGGAAGAGGUAGAAGACAAGGAGAAUGUGUAUUAUCAUCCUGAUCUAUUGGUAAUC